GACAGAGGUGCCAAGCGUUAGGCGGAAUCACUGGGCUUAAAGCGUGUGUAGGUGGAUGCCUAAGUACCUUGUGAAAUCCCACGGCUCAACCGUGGAAUUGCUGGGUAUACUGGGUGUCUUGAGCCACUUAGGGGUCGCUGGAACAAACGGUGGAGCGGUGAAAUGCGUAGAUAUCGUUUGGAACGCCAAUGGUGAAAACAGGCGACUGGGAGUGUGCUGACACUGAGACACGAAAGCCAGGGGAGCGAACGGG
This 253-nucleotide ribosomal RNA is filed under the name uncultured bacterium. RNAcentral's name for it is "partial 16S ribosomal RNA". It matches the Rfam family "Bacterial small subunit ribosomal RNA", at positions 524 to 776 of the family's 1533-position model. The record is from RNAcentral.